UUAACAGCCUUUUUAAAGGCCAAAAAUACUAAUUGGAAAAAACUGU
Non-coding RNA from Pygoscelis adeliae (Adelie penguin), 46 nucleotides. NCBI's taxonomy places the organism in Eukaryota, Metazoa, Chordata, Aves, Sphenisciformes, Spheniscidae. The record is from Rfam.